CUAAAGUCUUGAUGGGCCUUCCCUG
RNAcentral lists this non-coding RNA (25 nucleotides) under Rattus norvegicus (Norway rat). The record is from RNAcentral. Lineage: Eukaryota; Metazoa; Chordata; Mammalia; Rodentia; Muridae.